Molecule: long non-coding RNA, 3136 nt
Organism: Gorilla gorilla gorilla (western lowland gorilla)
Lineage: Eukaryota; Metazoa; Chordata; Mammalia; Primates; Hominidae
Exons: 7
Source: RefSeq, a predicted model, not a curated record
GACCUGGUGGGGUCCACUUGCAGGCUGUGGAGGAUUCGAUCUUUUACUCUUGGAAAUAAAUCUUGCUGCUGCUGGCUCUCUGGGUGCGUGCCGCUUAUAAGAGCUGUAACACUCACCAGGAAGGUCCGUGGUUUCAUUCUGGAAGUCAGCAAGACCAAGAACCCACCGGAACCAACUACAGACACACUGCUGGUCCAGCUAUGUACAAACUGAAUCAAGAUUCUAUGUACAUCAGAAUCAAGAGAGAGUGAGUUAUUGACAUCACGGAGCGGUCUACAUUCUAGUUCAUGCGGUGGACCUGCUGGAUGGCCUCAGGACCUGAAAUGAAGCCAUACGUUGGCUCUCCUGAGUCUCCACAUUCUUGACUGCAGAUUUGGGACUUCUCAGCCUCCAUAAACAUGCUGGAGUGAGUGCAGUGGCGUGAUCUCGGCUCACUGCAAGUCCCGCCUCCUGGGUUCACGCCAUUCUCCUGCCUCAGCCUCCCGGGUAGCUGGGACUACAGGUGCCUGCCACCAUGCCCAGGAGGUGAUAGACCACAAAUAAAAGAAAACCGCAGAUGCACCACGCAUGGAGAGAGAGGGAGAGGGGCAGGAAUGUUGUCUGCCUGCCGCCACCUCAUUUUUGAAGGCUGCUAAGCCAGAUGUAAAAACCAAAGUCACCCAGUGAGUCAAGGAUGAAAACUGAGGUCGUCCGUCCGACUUCCAGCCCGGACCUCCCUUUUUGCUGAUCUUUGGCCACUUAAAUGCACAUGCUAAUAAUUUAGAAAAUAGGUGCUUAGGUCCUGCUUUGGGAAUUACCAUGGCUUGAAUGUAUUCAUUGAUGUGCAUAUAUGUACAUACAUCUGUUUAUACAUGUAUAUGCAUUCAUUCACCCAUAUCAAUGAAUGAAUGAAUGAAUGAACUCAUUUGCACUCAUUUACUAACUCAGCAAAUACUGUGCUAUGUACAGGAGAUGCAGCAGUGAGCAAGAGAGAUUUGGCCCUUCCUUUCCUGACCUAGUAAAAGACAUGGUUUCAGGUAACGUCUUGCGCUUCCAGUUGAUCCCACAAGGAGCUCUGGAGUGUGACUUGUACCCUAGAGUUGUCCUGCCUUGGAGUAAAGAGGCUGGCCUUUUGUACCCUUGUGUUAGUCAAUUAUUGGCUACGUGACACCAGUGUAGCCAACUGGUGCAGAGGGGACGGUGCACCCUCCCCAGGAUUUCCAGGUAAGGCAACUCCUGUCAGCGGAGGGCAAUGUUAGCUGUGGGGUGCUGCUGUGUUAGCAGCAAACAUUCACCACGGCAGGGGGCUGGACUUACCAAUGUACAUUACCAGUUUAAUAUACAUUUAAUGUACAACACCAGUUUAAUGCACAUUUAAUGUACCAUCAAGGAGGUUGGAUGCAUUGACCUUUCAAAGGGGAUCUGAGUGGGGCACCAAUGGCAUCUACUACGUGAGAGACAGAGCUUUAUCCUACUGGGAAAGUGGGGGAGGCAAUCUAGAAUUCACACUUCUAUGUGAUCUCAAUUUGAGGGAUGAGGGAGCUGGGCUGUUUACCCACCAACUCCUGGCAGCCCUUACUGAAGGUGACUCCUGGGGAGGUUAAUUCUCAGCGUGGCCUGUGUGUAGCCACAGAGAGCUCCAGCAGCAGAGUCAGUCAUGUGCUGGAAGGUGGAGAUUGGGCAGAUGUGCUUGGAAAUGGGGAGCAUUAUGGAAAUGUGGGUGUGUGGGAUGCCAAGAUCAUCUGCUCCAGGUGGCCUGCACCAAUCAGACUUAUCCCCCAGAAAUGUGGAAUGAGGAAGCUGGUGGAAGCUUGGAGUCUCAGGUCAGCUGAGGACCAGAGCAAGGAAAUGACAACUGUGGCUGGAGUGGUCAUCAUGGCCUUUUGCGUGGUGAAAAUGUACGGGCAUGAAGGGUCCUCAUUUGCAGCCGUGUAUUAUUUAAGGGGAUUUGGGUAAUUCCAGGCCUGGGCAAAACAACCAACCCACGGGAUAGCGGCAGGAUGAGGACACAGCAGCCGCCACCAUUGGAGCAAGGAAGGGGCGGCUUUCCCAGAAGUGGUGGUGCGGAGUUCGGGCCAGCAGGCAGAGCUGAGCAGGGCUGUCGGAGCCACAUCCAGUCACUGAAAACGAGAGUUCUACCUCCCAAGUAGUUCGUGAUGCUGCCUGUUCCUCUCUUGGCUUCUUGUCACCCACUCAACCUAGGCUUUUAUUACUGCUUACCUGAACCUUUGCGAUGAGUUCUUCCCAGGCCCUGGGGAGGCAGAAAGGAGGAGAGAAUGAGAAGGGAGAACAGAGAAGAGGAGAGGGGAAGGAGUAAAAGAGAGGAAGGAAAAAAGAUGUAGAAAUCAUGUUUUUAACUUUCUGUCUUUGAUGAUGCUUGGGAAUUGUGGAGGUCUUGAGGAUCCAAGGAGGGAGUGCCCCUCCCAGGGUUAGGUAAUUCCUAGAGAUAGCAAACCACUUCUCUUCUGAGCAAGCCUUUGAUAUGCAAACCAACCAAUCCUGAGUCUUUUUUUCAACCUCCUGCCCUCCAGGACGCUAUCCCCCUGUUCCAAAUCACCCCAGGACCAGGAACCAGACAACUAGGGACUGCCCCUAUAGCCCAGAGUCAGCCGAAAUUAUUCAAAAUGGCCAAUGCUAAGUCUGCCUACCCUGGCUCACCUGUUCUUUCCAGUAAAAUCCAUGAUAUUGUUAUCAUUAGUAUUAUUACUGUUUUUGAGACAAGGUCUCACUCUGUCUCCCAGGCUGGAGUACAGUGGCACAAUCUUGGCUCACUGAAACCUCUGCCUCCCAGGCUCAAAAGAUCCUCCCACUUCAGCCUCCCAAAUAGCUGGGAGGACAGCGUGCACCACCGUGCCAGGCUAAUUUUUUGUACUUCUUGUAGAGGCUGGGUUUCACCAUGUUGCCCAGCCUAGUCUCGAACUCCUGGGCUCAAGAGAUCUGCCUGCCUCGGCCUCCCAAAGUGCUGGGAUUAUAGGCGUGAGCCACCAUGCCCAGCCUAUUAUUAUUAUUAUUAUUUUAUUUUGGCCACCAUUAACUGAGAAAACAAAAUCCAUGAUAAAGGCCCUGGCCUAUGCUUUCCCCUGGCUUCUUCUGCCCUGUGUAACGUGUUACGCCCUCUCCUCUUGGGAACUGUGAGUAAUAAACUAUCUUUUCAAUA